Rhipicephalus sanguineus (brown dog tick) is the source of this 812-nucleotide long non-coding RNA. RefSeq lists it as uncharacterized. NCBI's taxonomy places the organism in Eukaryota, Metazoa, Arthropoda, Arachnida, Ixodida, Ixodidae. The record is from RefSeq and is a predicted model, not a curated record. The transcript is spliced from 3 exons.
AAAAAAAAAAAGAGGGCAGCUUUGCACUACACUCUAAGAAAAAAAAGAGUCAAAAGAGGGUCAUAGAACCGUGACCCUCUUCGGGCGUCCAUGUGACCCCUUUUGGAAGGUACAGGCAGAGAAAAAGAGUUAACAUUUUGCAAGGAGUCACUGGACGCUCCUGAAGCGCGUUUCGAAUGGCUUCCGUCAUGAAAGAGCCGCCGAUACGCCAUACAUAUCGCGCGCUUGCCCUUUGGCGCCGUUGUGGCGCGUUGCUCGCCGACGGAGACGGGGUUGGCGCCGGGGUGGCGCGCCGCUUCUGGCUUCUCUCUCAGUCGUCUCACUGGUCUCACUCAGUCUCAGUGUCCUCGUCUAUUGGAAUGCCUUGCGUGGUUGCGUUGACAGUCCGGCUUGCGUGUCUUGAAGUUUCAUCAGUUUCAUGUUCAUGCGCGUCUUCGGUGGUCGGCUCCGUGCACGAAGUGACGCUUGGAGGGCGGAAUAUUCAUGGAGGUGCGGAUACGGACAACGGGCGCCAGUUAACGAAUCCCGGAUCACUUCUGCCGCCUCUUCACUCCAGUUGACAGCCACACUCGGGGAAACGAAGGUGCCCCGUUGGUCUGGCGCCUCACCGCUCGCGAUGGGAAAAUCAACAGCGGCGUUCGCCGUGUCAACAAGGCAGUCGGUCCUACAUUUCUUUUGGUUGGACAAGACGACGUCGGAAAAGAGAUACCGUUUUUCACGGUGCUCACGCUGAACAGGAGCGACAACCUAGCAAGCCACAAGUCUGAUGCCUCCAGCCGUCACCAUUUUUUUAUUUAUUCUUAAUCAUGAGG